Molecule: long non-coding RNA, 3248 nt
Filed under: Homo sapiens (human)
Lineage: Eukaryota; Metazoa; Chordata; Mammalia; Primates; Hominidae
Description: HSALNT0200288
Source: RNAcentral
AGAAAACUGAGAUCCAGAAAUUCAAGAUCAAUAACCAAUAAUUGAAAAGGAAGUAAGACAGCCUGCCUUUGGAAUAUUGUGCCACUUUACCAAUAAUUUACUCUAAUUAAAAUGAAACAAAAAUGUGUGCAUGUUAUUGGAUGUAUGGAAAGAUGCAUCAAACUAAAUGACCUCAAGGGAGAGGUGUGGCUUCCGUGAGGAAGAUGACAAGACUCCUUCUUGGUACUCAUGUAAUAAGUUUGUGAUAAAAGAUAUUAUUACUAAACAAAGAUUAACAUGUAUAACUUGUCUCCUUUAAACAUAAUCUCAGAAUAUUAGGCAAAAAUAUUAGAGAGUAGAAAGUCUCUCCUCUUCGUUAAGUUCUCUAAAACAUUUUUACUCUUUAACAGGUUCAACUCUACCAACUGUCUAUAGCAUUUCACAGUGUUGUGGAUGAUUAUGCUGUCUAGGGAACUGAGUAGUUACUGCACUUUCAAAAACAUCAUCUCACAGUCCUGAGUGAUCUAUCCACACAUCCAUCUUCAAGCUUCCCAAAGGCAGGAAUCACCUAUUGUUCGUCUGUAAACUCCAAUGAGAAACAUACAGUCUGGUGUAUGGGAGGUCAUCAAAACAAGUGUGGAGGUAUAAGCUAAGACUGACAACUGCCUCCCAAGUUUCUAUUCAAAAGUAAUCAUUUUGGAUGUAAAUCUCAUCAGGAAUGUGUUUAAACUCAGGAACUGCUGAAUUGUACUGUAACUUGGCUCAUCCCAAAUAGUGCAGUUGUCUUCACAAUGGAGAGACUGUCACAGCCUAAAAAGACACGUGACUCUGAGCAUCAGUUUACUGGCUGCCCACUCAAUGAUUCAGACUCCUCCAUUCUUUGUGUGGAAGAGAACUGGCCUUCCGGGAGCCUGAGGCCAAGUGAGAGAACCUUCUGAAAGCCGUCACUGCAUGGGGAGCCUGGACUUACCCUUUGCCUUGUUGGAGCUGUUUGUCUAUUUCCGUCUCGAAGUUCUCUAUAGAUUGGGCUAGUGUCUUUCACCACUGUGUCCUUAAUGUCCUGGAGACUGCCCGCCACUUAGCAGGGGCCUAUAAGCACGUGAAGUGAGGCCAGGACAAAUCCUUAUGCCCUCUACCCUCGCACAGCAUCUGGAAACAUGAGAGAUGUUAGGUGUGUGUUUUAAAUGAAUAAAUGUGUGAAUUCAAAUUAUUUCAAACGCCUGUUUCAGAGAGACAGAAAAAAGACCUGUUUCUUAGAAAAAAGAGAAAAAAAGAUGAUUUAUUUCUCCAGUAGUAUGAAGGAAAAGCUUCAUCCAUCAUUUUAAGUGCUUCAAAUGGUUACAAAUGGCCUAGAGAAAGAAGGCAUUUUUAGUUUUAGCUAUAUGUUUAAAAUUUCAAUAUAAAUUAUUAUUGUGAUUAUUUGUCACAUACUUUACUGUUUGUCAAAUAACAAUAGCACUAUAUUUGACUGGGCAAUCUUGUAUCUUUCUAGGUCAGUGUAAGGUUCUCUACAUAAUUUAAGGAAGAUUUUAGGCCAAUUACAAAAAAAAAAUGUAUAAGAUUUACAACACAGGAAUAAAUCAGGGAAAAGAAGAUCUGAUGUCCAGUCAGACAGGAUGAAGGCCUAUUUCUCAAGGAAAACAUAACACCUAUCUGUUCCCUCUGAAAGGUAACAUUUAUCUACAAAGAGAAGGAAGGUUCACAGAGAACAUAGGGACACCAUAAGGACUCCUAAUGAGACAACUACUUCUGGUUUUAUAAAGAAGCAAACUAGCAAGUUUCACAUCUCUACAGUGACCACUGGUAUAUCCACCAAUGUCAGAAAAUAGUACAUCUAUUACAAAAUGUUUUCUUAAUAUUUCAUUCUAAUACCAUACGUGGAGAUGCUGCUGUCUGUUUAGUAAUGGAGGUACAUGUUUUCAACAGUAGACCAUAGGUGCAUAGUGCAUUUUCUAGACUUAAAAUAAUCAUAGCCCUGCAAGUCCAUGGCAGCAUUUCACAGAUGCUGGCCUCUCUUUACAUCACUGAGGCAUGCAGGCCAAGACUUUGAAGUGCUCUGUUUUCAGCCAAGUUGCCAUGUUUGGCUUUUCAGCAUUUUCUGUAUGUUUUAUGAUUUCAAUAAAAAGAUAUGCCAGACCUCUCUGGCCAGCAAAUAAUUAGGACUUUUUGAUCACAACAAUAGUAUCUAGUAAGAGAUCUUUUCCAUUUAAUCAACUUUUUGUGUAUUUUAUUGGUUUUUAUUAUAAAAUUCAUUUUAAUAGUUUUAAAUUUACAAAUUCUGAAGUCUAGUAUCUGAGAAGCUGCUUCUCAGAUUUAUGUGAUUUUUAACACUAAAAUGGAAUUUUCUGUGACUGAGAUCUUGAGGUUCCUAUAAAUGUUUAGUAAACUGCUUCCAGGGUUUUAGUGGUAAUAAAUCAGAAAUAUGUAUUCUUUGAUGUCUGUAAGAUAGUAUUGCAUGGCCAGCAUUCACUUUUCUGUUUGGAAGAGAUGGGAAUCAGGCAGAUAGUGUUACUGGGAAAAAGACAAAACAAACUCAAGACAAUAUUUAUCCACGAGGACUUGACAAGAGAGCCAAAAUGCAAUCUUUCAGAAAGGCAACCAUUUUCACCGGGUCAUUUGCUAGAUGAUGUGGAAAAAGCAGUGCUAUUCCUUGUCCAAUUGAAGUACCAGAUUGAGACUGCACUAAUAAGCUUUGCUAAAGAUCCAAGGGGAGUUAUAAUUGAUAAAAGAUCAACAAGAAUAGUUCAUUUACAAGUUAUUCUAUUAUCUAUGACAUUUCAAUUAUCAAUAUUCAGGUGCUAUAUGUCUAUAAAAGUAUAUAUAGCUUGUUUCAUCUUGUAAACUUCCCUAUUAGGAUAACUAAUAAUAACUUUGAGUAUUACAUUGUAGAAUCAGAAGGUCAUUGUGUAUAUUAAAUAUACUUACUGCUAGUAUAAUAUGAAGUGUGCUGCGUAGUUGUUAAUGCCAUAGUCUCUUUAGUCAGGCUGGCUAAAUGCUUACCGGCUGUUUGACCUUGGGCAAGUUAUCCAACCACUCACAGAUGAUAAAACCCAGGCAUAAUAAAACUUGGCUCAUAAUUUGUGUAUGUGCAUAUGUGUAUUAAAUAAUUCAGGUAAAAGAUUUAGCACAUCUUGGAAGGUGUUCAUGAUAGCUAUGAUUAUAUAAAAAUAUAUGAUAUCUACAAAGCCCUAAAAAAUAAAGACAUAAGUUAAUUUAAUAUUGUGAACAGCAUGAUCCUAAUCGGUACCACAACCUUGAUAUCCUAAAAC